Molecule: microRNA precursor, 79 nt
Filed under: Astyanax mexicanus (Mexican tetra)
Lineage: Eukaryota; Metazoa; Chordata; Actinopteri; Characiformes; Acestrorhamphidae
Description: mir-140 microRNA precursor family
Rfam family: mir-140 microRNA precursor family
Source: Rfam by way of RNAcentral
GGUGUCGCGCCAGUGGUUUUACCCUAUGGUAGGUUAGGUCAUGCUGUUCUACCACAGGGUAGAACCACGGACGGGAUGC